RNAcentral lists this ribosomal RNA (466 nucleotides) under uncultured bacterium. Its description in RNAcentral is "partial 16S ribosomal RNA". It matches the Rfam family "Bacterial small subunit ribosomal RNA", at positions 28 to 507 of the family's 1533-position model. The record is from RNAcentral.
GACGAACGCUGGCGGCGUGCUUAACACAUGCAAGUCGAACGGAAAGGCCUCUUCGGGGGGUACUCGAGUGGCGAACGGGUGAGUAACACGUGAGUAACCUGCCCUUGACUUUGGGAUAACUUCAGGAAACUGGGGCUAAUACCGGAUAGGAGCUCCUGCUGCAUGGUGGGGGUUGGAAAGUUUCGGCGGUUGGGGAUGGACUCGCGGCUUAUCAGCUUGUUGGUGGGGUAGUGGCUUACCAAGGCUUUGACGGGUAGCCGGCCUGAGAGGGUGACCGGCCACAUUGGGACUGAGAUACGGCCCAGACUCCUACGGGAGGCAGCAGUGGGGAAUAUUGCACAAUGGGUGGAAGCCUGAUGCAGCAACGCCGUGUGCGGGAUGACGGCCUUCGGGUUGUAAACCGCUUUCGCUCAUGACGAAGCUUUGUGUGACGGUAGUGGGUAAAGAAGCACCGGCUAACUACGUG